This 523-nucleotide ribosomal RNA is filed under the name uncultured bacterium. RNAcentral describes it as "bacterial SSU rRNA". It matches the Rfam family "Bacterial small subunit ribosomal RNA", at positions 8 to 524 of the family's 1533-position model. The record is from RNAcentral.
AGAGUUUGAUCCUGGCUCAGAUUGAACGCUGGCGGAAUGCUUUACACAUGCAAGUCGAACGGCAGCAUAGGUGCUUGCACCUGAUGGCGAGUGGCGAACGGGUGAGUAAUACAUCGGAACGUGCCCAGUCGUGGGGGAUAACGUAGCGAAAGUUACGCUAAUACCGCAUACGAUCUAAGGAUGAAAGCGGGGGACCGUAAGGCCUCGCGCGAUUGGAGCGGCCGAUGUUAGAUUAGGUAGUUGGUGGGGUAAAGGCUCACCAAGCCGACGAUCUAUAGCUGGUCUGAGAGGAUGAUCAGCCACACUGGGACUGAGACACGGCCCAGACUCCUACGGGAGGCAGCAGUGGGGAAUUUUGGACAAUGGGCGCAAGCCUGAUCCAGCCAUUCCGCGUGCAGGACGAAGGCCUUCGGGUUGUAAACUGCUUUUGUACAGAACGAAAAGCCUUGGGUUAAUACCCUAGGGUCAUGACGGUACUGUAAGAAUAAGCACCGGCUAACUACGUGCCAGCAGCCGCGGUAAU